UUGUUCCCUUAUUGUAAGUUGCUUUGGAGAAAAGCGUCUGCUAAAUGACUAAAU
Molecule: non-coding RNA, 54 nt
Organism: Larimichthys crocea (large yellow croaker)
Lineage: Eukaryota; Metazoa; Chordata; Actinopteri; Sciaenidae
Source: Rfam